GUUCGUUUUGUGUUCAUGCGGAGACACAAAUGGCCAGGGUUAGCAUGAAGUGGUCGAAGAUUUGCCUUUCAUUGGUGAAUUAAAGAACAGAUGUCCAGCCCUCUUUAAUAAGCCAGAGGUGUCUGUGGAAUUCAGUAGGAUUACAACAAUCUUUUUGGUGUCCAAAUUCAUGAGUCAGCUUGAUCAUUUCUCAACUCAGCUAAUCAGUGUUUUCAGAAAGAAAAGAGGAGCAGCAGCACAGAGGAUCAACAACAUCCUGUCAGUUAUGGAUCAGGAUGUCUCCAUCGAAAAAAGACGUGAAUGCAUCCUAAAAGCCCUCGUUGUUUAUGUGAAUGAAGACCCCUCAAACCUUGUGAAGGGGUACAUGUUUCUUCCAGACAGUCCAAAUAGACUGGUGUCCACAAUGCUGAAAAUGCCCAAACUGUAGAGGGAACCAAAGUUAAUCCCAAAAUCCAAAGCUGUGUUCAAUUUCUUUUUAUAUUAUUUUCUUAUUUUGUUAUAUUUUAGUAUUUAUUGCUUAUUUAAGAUGUUAAUAUUCACUUAAAAUUAUUCUUAUACUAAUAUAAUAAAUUAUAUUAUACUAAUAUUCAAUUCAAAAUUCUAUUUAAAAUAUUCAAUUCAAUAAAGAUUUGUUUAUACCUGAUUCAAUUCUGUAUUGUUUUAGUCUUUGACCAAGAGAUGGCGCAAACAUUUUUAAAAGAAGGGAGGUUUGUAGUGGGAGCAGUGGGGUGUCAAGUGUGGCAAAUUUUUGGCGAAUGUGUGGCAAAUGGUUUACAUGGCUCAUGGGUCAGGUAGGAGGGCCCCUUAGCAGAAUUUUGCUUAGGGCCCCAGGGAGGUCAGGAUCAGCUCUGCACGUGAGGCAGUUCCCCUCAUCGUGGGGAAGUAGUGUUUUGAUAUGUCACAUGUCCAUGUUGUGCCAAUUUUCGUUUUUCAUGUGACUUCAUGUGACAUCAAAUGACGUGAC
This is a long non-coding RNA of Tachysurus vachellii, 964 nucleotides long. RefSeq lists it as uncharacterized. The transcript is spliced from 5 exons. NCBI's taxonomy places the organism in Eukaryota, Metazoa, Chordata, Actinopteri, Siluriformes, Bagridae. The record is from RefSeq and is a predicted model, not a curated record.